GCAAAACCGCCCAUAUCGGCGACCAAACUCGGCGAUCGCCGAAUUGGUCGCCGUUUUUGGUCUGAAAAUCGGCCAAAUUCGGCGCCCGCCGAAUUUAACGCUCGUAGUGCAAAUUUGAAACAGGAAUUUCGGCGACCAACUCGGCGGUCGCCGUUUAGGUCGCCGAAUUUUGACUGCUGCGCGCGACGUUUUUGUUUCGGCCAUAACUUUCUCGUCCGAACUCCGAUUUAUGAUCCGUUUGCGCUCACGAACUCGUAUCGAGACGAUCUACAACUUCUAUUUCAGAACAUUGUUCCAAAUUCGAACUCAAUAAAUCUGCAAAUUCCUUCAAAGUUCGAGUAAG
RNAcentral lists this long non-coding RNA (343 nucleotides) under Salvia miltiorrhiza (redroot sage). Its description in RNAcentral is "long non-coding RNA (SMIL_LNC002369)". The record is from RNAcentral. Lineage: Eukaryota; Viridiplantae; Streptophyta; Magnoliopsida; Lamiales; Lamiaceae.